RNAcentral lists this ribosomal RNA (247 nucleotides) under uncultured bacterium. RNAcentral describes it as "partial 16S ribosomal RNA". It matches the Rfam family "Bacterial small subunit ribosomal RNA", at positions 530 to 776 of the family's 1533-position model. The record is from RNAcentral.
GGGGGCGAGCGUUAUUCGGAAUUAUUGGGCGUAAAGGGCGCGUAGGCGGCUUGAUGUGUCAAAGGUGAAAUCCCUCGGCUCAACUGAGGAACUGCCUUUGAAACUGUCUGGCUUGAGGCCGGGAGAGGGUAGCGGAAUUCCCAGUGUAGCGGUGAAAUGCGUAGAUACUGGGAGGAACACCGGUGGCGAAGGCGGCUACCUGGACCGGUUCUGACGCUGAUGCGCGAAAGCGUGGGUAGCAAACAGG